Molecule: long non-coding RNA, 827 nt
Filed under: Phasianus colchicus (ring-necked pheasant)
Lineage: Eukaryota; Metazoa; Chordata; Aves; Galliformes; Phasianidae
Description: lncRNA (ENSPCLG00000002838.1)
Source: RNAcentral
CCCAGGAUGAGGUUCAGCAGGAAAGGUUCUCCAGAUCAUCUUACAGCCUGGGGGGGAGUCAUUGCCUUAUAGGGUGUGGGACUCUAUAUGGGAUGCAAGGGAAGAGAAUCUGGGGAUUGUGCAAGCUCUAGUAAGGAGUGUUUAUGUGGAAGACCAUUCAAGAACAAUGAGGAUCAAGGUGGUUUGGGAGAAAUAAGCAUGGCGGGAAAAAAAGAAGUUGAAGGGAGGAAAGCAACUGAUAUCUUUCUGUGUGAUCACCAGGGAGCAUCAGGCUGGACUGACUGUGAGAGGUGGUCCCAGCUGGCUCCUUAGAUGGAUGGUACUGCACACACUGAAAGCCACUCAGACUCUGCAGGCCAACCCUCUUCUGUGGCUUCUUCUACCAGGUAAGUAGGUUGCUGUCAUUGAUUAAAACAGCCCUGAAGCUCCUCGUUAGUUAUUGUUAAAUCACAGGCAUAGUAAAACAAAGGACUCCAUGCACCUUACUUGUGAAACUUGUUCACGUCUGCAGAGCCCAUUGCUGCCCUUGAUUUCUCUGUCCUACCCUUGAAAAAAGGGCUUCAACAGAAGCAGAAAAAGUAGGGUCAUACCCUUGCCAUUCCUAUCCUCUUCCCAUUGCUCCUCCACAGCCAGAUAGUAGUCCAAUCCUUCUCUUCACAGAACAGCUAAGGUCAGAAGGGGACUCUGAAGUUUGUCUGAUUCAACGUCCCCUGAAUCAAGCCACUCCAAGCAGGUUGCCCAGCACCACACCCAGCCAGCUUUUGAAGAUCUCCAAAGACUGAGACUCCAGAACAUCUCCAGGCAGCCUGUUCCUGUGUUUGACCACC